AACCACCACGGCCUCACCCGUCUUCUCCAGCCAUACCGGAACCACUAUGCACCACCGUUCGCCCUCACCUUCGUCGCCGAUCUCCGACAUCAGGUCUUAAGUUGUGGUUAGCCUUUUAAGGAUUACCUGUUGAAAAUGGUAAUGUUAUCGUUUUUGUAUUGUUGAUUUUAUGCACGAUCUACCUUUGCUUAUUUCAGGUUUUUAAGCUUUAUUUAUAUUUAUCUACGUAUUUCAUUUUUACUAACGUUGUUUAAUGUAUAAACCAAAAUGAUUCCAAGAGGAGCCUCUGGUAAGCGUCCAAGAGUGUUUAGUACCUAUGAAAUUGGUGAAUCAUCACAUAGCAGUCGUUUGCGUAGGGUAUCAAGAAUGUUAGAGCCAGUGACAGGUGGUCGCCACGCGUCAUCUCAGGAAGAACGCACCCCGCUUCCUACAUAUUUCGACUGCGGUGACUGUGUUUGUGUGUGUGAAUAUUGUAGUGCUAUGUUCUGGUUUGCUGAAAGGGUUGUUUACGCUUCACGGUCAAAUCAUCCAAGAUGUUGACGAAAGUAUAAACGACGGACGUGGCCCCUAUGUUUUUAAGGUUUCUGGUCAGAUUUCACAUUGGAUUGGCUCUUUAUGCCCUUCGCCAAAUGAAAAGCCACGGUUUUUGCAAAUGUAUGUUUACGAUACACAAAAUGAGAUAGCAAAUAGACUUAGAUUUUUCGCUGAAACAGAUCGAAACGGCCUUUCACCUGCUAUUGUAAGUAGCCUUAGUGACACUUUGAA
This is a long non-coding RNA of Helianthus annuus (common sunflower), 765 nucleotides long. RefSeq lists it as uncharacterized. The transcript is spliced from 3 exons. NCBI's taxonomy places the organism in Eukaryota, Viridiplantae, Streptophyta, Magnoliopsida, Asterales, Asteraceae. The record is from RefSeq and is a predicted model, not a curated record.